UGUGGAAGAAUUAUGGACUACAGAAGAAUUUAAGGUAUUGUUUUACAUACAUCGAUACUUCAUUAAUUUACUAUUUUAUAUUGUAAGUUGUUUAACAUUAUAUAUGAAUUCGCAGAGAAAAUCAAAAAUAAACAAAACAAACCGGAGUAAGAAGAUACUAAACCAUAAAACAGGGUCAAUUCCUUUCAGUGCAAUAAGAGAAAAUCUGCAAAGCGAAGGCAUUGAGGCAUCACGAAUCAAUGUUCUUCUGGAACUGACAACGAAGUCGUUGUAAGUUUUAGUUUAUUUUAUAAUGUUCAUAAAUAGUAGUUUAUUGAUCUACUCAUAGCUUAUUACUUAUUUUAUAGAGAAACUUGUCUGAGUAUUACAAAAGUGAUGAAAUUCAAGAAUUACGUCCAACAACGGAUGAAGAUGUAAGUUUUAAAUUAGUUUACUAUUUCAAAUUAUUCAAAUGUUUUAUUUUCUUAUAUAUUAUUUUUCGCACGUAGGUGAUUCAACAAAAAUGCAUUUCUAAGUUUAUUCAAAGCAAAAAAGGGAGGCACAUUGGACUUGGUGGAGGAUCAUUUGCUGAGUCGAGCACUGCUUCUACCAGAUUUUCAAUUGAAAGGAAUGCAAGAUCUAUCGACAAAGACAAAGAAAAAGAAAAAGGAAAAGAAAAAAUGAACGAUCGAAUGGAAAAGCUCAUGGAGGUAUGUGUAUGAAAGUCAAUAAAAUUUUAAAGUAAUACAUAAAUAUAAAUGAAUUUUAAAUGUUUUACAGGAUAAUCAAAUUUUAAAAAGGAAAUAUGAUGAAAUGUUUGAUAUGUUUGAAGACCUGAAGAAAACAGUUCUAUCUCAAUCAAAUACAACUCCACAACCUUCAAAUCGUGGAUCGUUGCAAGAUAGAAGUAUUAAUGCAGCUCAGAGUGAUCAAAAAGGCGAGCAAAAGGAGGGGGCAAGUAUUCAAACAACAAUCCUCACCUACGGAUGAACGUAGGUAGACGAGGAGUCACACUUAGCCUCAGUCGCAAAAAGGCGAGCAAAAGGAGGGGGCAAGUAUUCAAGUAACAGUCCUCACCCACGGAUGAACGUGGGUAGACGAGGAAGCACACUCAACCCCUAUCGCAGAAAGGCGGAAAAAAGGGGGGGCAAGUAUUCAAGUAAUAAUCCUCAUCCACGAAUGAACGUGGGUAGACGAGGAAGCACACUCAACCCCUAUCGCAGAAAGGCGGACAAAAGGAGGGGGUCGGGUACUCUCAAAACCCGCCACAGGGAAGAGAACCCAAACGGUGCUCAAGGACAGCUUAGGCAAGGCGUCAAGGUGGGCAAGCAGGGUUCCGCGGGAGAAUCAGGCCGGACAGGUGUGCAAGGAGUAGGCUUCGGCUAGGACAAACCGGACAAUAGUUGGCAAAAGCGCGUGACAACCUCCGUGGAAGCAUAGAUACAACCUCGCAGGCGUGGAGGGGGGGGAGCACUGGUGAGAGAGGAUCUUACAUCCAGGGACAUCACCAGAAAUCCACAUCCCAGCACGCAA
RNAcentral lists this long non-coding RNA (1512 nucleotides) under Zostera marina. RNAcentral's name for it is "long non-coding RNA (ZMAR_LNC003008)". The record is from RNAcentral. Lineage: Eukaryota; Viridiplantae; Streptophyta; Magnoliopsida; Alismatales; Zosteraceae.